CCGUAACACGUGGCCAAACUACCCUAUGGAUCGGAAUAACCUCGGGAAACUGAGGCUAAUACCGAAUACCGCUCUCAUCCUGGAACUGGAGAGAGCACCAAACGCUCCGGCGCCAUAGGAUGUGGCUGCGGCCGAUUAGGUAGACGGUGGGGUAACGGCCCACCGUGCCGAUAAUCGGUACGGGUUGUGAGAGCAAGAGCCCGGAGACGGUAUCUGAGACAAGAUACCGGGCCCUACGGGGCGCAGCAGGCGCGAAACCUUUACACUGCACGAACGUGCGAUAAGGGGACUCCAAGUGCGAGGGCAUACAGUCCUCGCUUUUCUGUACCGUAAGGUGGUACAGGAAUAAGAGCUGGGCAAGACCGGUGCCAGCCGCCGCGGUAAUACCGGCAGCUCGAGUGAUGGCCAAUAUUAUUGGGCCUAAAGCGUCCGUAGCUGGCCGAACAGGUCCGUCGGGAAAUCCGCUCGCUCAACGAGCGGACGUCCGGCGGAAACCAGUCGGCUUGGGACCGGAAGACCCGAGGGGUACGGCCGGGGUAGGAGUGAAAUCCUGUAAUCCUGGCCGGACCACCGGUGGCGAAAGCGCCUCGGGAAGACGGAUCCGACAGUGAGGGACGAAAGCUAGGGUCACGAACCGGAUUAGAUACCCGGGUAGUCCUAGCUGUAAACGAUGCUCGCUAGGUGUGGCACUG
This 692-nucleotide ribosomal RNA is filed under the name halophilic archaeon. RNAcentral describes it as "bacterial SSU rRNA". It matches the Rfam family "Archaeal small subunit ribosomal RNA", at positions 91 to 781 of the family's 1478-position model. Lineage: Archaea; Methanobacteriati; Methanobacteriota; Halobacteria; Halobacteriales. The record is from RNAcentral.